GGGCUCGACCGGAAUAGACAGGAUGGAUGAUAAGUGUGUAAGCAUGCAGCGCAAUGAGGAUUCAGCGCUUAAAUAUUGAUUCUCAAAACACAACAGGCGAAAAUAACUACGCUCUUGCUGCUUAAUCUUAACGAGUUAAGAUUUGCUUAGUCGUACUUUAGAAGUACGAGCGAGAUGUUUCCCGAAGGCCAAGUCUGGCGGCAAUCGAUCAGGAAGCACAGAAAUGCUAGAAUAAGGAAGACUAAGUUUCGGAGUCUUCACGAAAAUUUAAGAAAAUAAGGAGUAACCAGAUUUUUUAUGGUCAAGUUGCUCACGAAAACCAACCAUAAAAUAAGCAUGUAGAAAGCGCAACUGGUCCCAUGUUUGGACGAGGGUUCGAAUCCCUCCGGGUCCACAU
Non-coding RNA from Pedobacter sp., 397 nucleotides. It matches the Rfam family "transfer-messenger RNA". From Rfam's summary of the family: Bacterial tmRNA, also known as 10Sa RNA or SsrA, is named for its dual tRNA and mRNA-like properties. Its role is to liberate the mRNA from a stalled ribosome. To accomplish this part of the tmRNA is used as a reading frame that ends in a translation stop signal. The record is from Rfam. NCBI's taxonomy places the organism in Bacteria, Pseudomonadati, Bacteroidota, Sphingobacteriia, Sphingobacteriales, Sphingobacteriaceae.